RNAcentral lists this long non-coding RNA (1193 nucleotides) under Equus asinus (donkey). Its description in RNAcentral is "lncRNA (ENSEASG00005023972.1)". The record is from RNAcentral. Lineage: Eukaryota; Metazoa; Chordata; Mammalia; Perissodactyla; Equidae.
UUCUGUUUCACCCCAAACAUCCCACAUGCCGAUGCUCUGCUCCUGAGCUGUCGCUCCCACUCUGCCCUGGAGGCCACCAAGCAGGGUGGGCGGUGUUAGUUCCCUGUGGCUGCUGAGACCAAGUACCGCAGACCGAGCGCCUUAAAACACCAGGAGCCCCUCCUCUCACAGGCCGGGCGGGAGUCUGAUCAGUGUUGGCGGCUGAAGCCAAGGGAGGGCCACAUUUGAACAACACGGCAGACAAGAUGAGGCAUGGCCACGUUCAUGAGGAUGCGUCUGUACAUCCACAAGAACAUCUUGGACAGACGUCGAAGUUAGGAACGCAAUUCUGCAUAUUGGCUCUAGCUGUCCUGAGACUGCCACUUGACCUGAAUGCUGGUUUGACAACACUGAGUAGAGAAAACAGUGAUUAGUUUAAAUACUGUGAUCAAUACAAAAAUUCCAAGGAGCAGCAGAAGGAGAAAUUGUAAUCCGGACUGUGGAAAUGUGCCAAAGCCUGUGGGAAGCCAACUAAACAAAUCGUUCAGACUGGGUGUAGGAUCGCUAAAGGCACUUCCGUACUUUCUCACGUGACUUAACAAAAAUGAGAGGUUGGAAGAUUCAUCAGGUAUAAAAACACAACAUUCAGCUUGGAAGACAGCACAAGGACCACCUUGUGACCCACUUGUCAUGUCCAGGGCCGUUCCAUUUUGGAGGAUGGCCUUUCUCAUUAAAGACAUUUCAGUAUUCAAUAGUGAUAUUCCAGUUCGGCUACUGUUAAGAGCCUGUUGGGUGAACUGAGUCAAGGCUUCUGUAUGCAAUAUGACAUCUUAUAACCCUAUAGAAGGAACAAAUGGGGCAGCUAAGUGACUGUACCAGUGAAAACCUGCACGAGUCCACCUGGCUUUAAGGAGAGGGAGAUUAGUGACAGUUGUUAAUUUGGGGCAAGCCCUUCCUUGCAUCCACGGGGAACCGAGGGUGCAACGUCCUAGCCACCCAAGUGGAAGCCAGGGCCAAAGAUUUAUUCCACGUAGCCACUGAGUUCCAUUAGGGGCCACCCAGUAAAUGCCUGGUCGUCAAGAUCAGUCUGUCUCAAAUCAGUCACUUUCUUUAAGUUUAAUGGUGUUUUUGGACAACUCAGGGGGUAUCCACCCCACGUCGUGAGUGCAGUUAGGUUGCUCUUGUUUUGAGUGGGUUUUUUUUGAGUAGCACAA